UACGUAGGGACCAAGCGUUGUUCGGAUUUACUGGGCGUAAAGGGCGCGUAGGCGGCGUGACAAGUCACUUGCGAAAUCUCCGGGCUUAACUCGGAACGGUCAAGUGAUACUGUUGUGCUAGAGUACAGAAGGGGCAAUCGGAAUUCUUGGUGUAGCGGUGAAAUGCGCAGAUAUCAGGAAGAACACCGACGGCGAAGGCAGCUUACUGGGCCGAUACUGACGCUGAGGAGCGAAAGCGUGGGGAGCGAACAGG
RNAcentral lists this ribosomal RNA (253 nucleotides) under uncultured bacterium. RNAcentral's name for it is "partial 16S ribosomal RNA". It matches the Rfam family "Bacterial small subunit ribosomal RNA", at positions 524 to 776 of the family's 1533-position model. The record is from RNAcentral.